Argiope bruennichi is the source of this 1333-nucleotide long non-coding RNA. RefSeq lists it as uncharacterized. The record is from RefSeq and is a predicted model, not a curated record. The transcript has 3 exons. Lineage: Eukaryota; Metazoa; Arthropoda; Arachnida; Araneae; Araneidae.
CUUUACCGUACCGGCACUGCAGGCCUCUUAUGCAAAGAGUAAAACAUCAAAUCCCUCUAGCGUCAAGAAACAAGCUGAAAUAUCAACAACAAAUGAUUGUCAACAAAACCCUACUAAAACGAAACAACUGAGUAACAUAUUCUGUUGAAUUUAAAAUCUUUUGUCCAAGAGGAACAGCUAAAAAUUAAAAAGUCAACUUAGAAAGACUUCUAAAUAAAGAUUUGAAAGUUUCUUCAAGAGAAACUUCAAUGAUGGCGGAGUUUUGCAGUGUGCCCUGAUAACUGGAUAGACUACUUGGUAACCACAUCAUUCCAGUAAAAAAUGACAAUGAUUGGAAAGGGAGAUGUCUGAAGACUCACAAAUUUGCUUUGCAUCAGACUACAUUUCGAUGGAGAAAACCAUCAGAAAAUAGUAAAAAAUUGUGUUUCCAAUUGAAAUUUCAAAAAUUUAUCAUUUCUUUAACUUUUUAUUAUUUUUUUAUAUACAUUUGUGAAUAUUUAUAUACAGUGUACAAAUGAAAUGUUUCUGUUUGUCCUAAAUAGUAAAGCAUAUUUCGUUUCAUAUGAAAUAUCUUCCAAAAAUUCUGCUUCAAGAAAUUAUAAAGUGUAAUAUUGCCAGGAUCUAUUGCAAAAAAAAUUUGAAUUGUGAUAUAAUUUCUGUUAUUCAUAUAUAUUUUUUAUAAAUUUUAAUACCCAUGUACAAAAGCAAAAUCAUAUGCUUGACUUUCUAAGCAAUUUCCAGCAAACAAAUCAAAAAAUGGAUAUUUUGAUACAUUCAAACUGCAUGGAAUAUUAGUUGGUAUGAGCAUUUAUAAUUCCGUUCACAUACUAACACUAAAGUGAAAUUGCCCGUUAGUGACUAAAUAUAAUUUUCUUACCACGUACAUAAUAGAGAAAAAUUAUGCUUGUAAUUUGAAUAUGAAAGCAUAUUCUUUGCACAAAAUUGUAUUCUUGAUUAAGUGUAUUGUCUGUAUUAUUUACAGAAUUUAUGGAAAUAUAUGUUGAUACGUAUUGAAAUUUAAUUUUACAUUUACAGACAAGAUUGAUGAAAAUGAAAUAAACAGUUGAAGUUUAAUUGUGCAUUUAUAUAUGUAUAUGAAACAGAUUUGUUUAGGAAGUCUAUAAUAAGGAUUUAAUUGACCUAUCAUUUUAUUAAAAAAAAACAUUUACAGAUGCAUACCACAGAGAUGCCACUUGAAUGUGAUGUGUGUAAUAAAACAUUUUCUCAGAAGGGAAAUUUAGUAAAACAUGUACGCACGCAUACAAAACAGCAAACAUUUGCAUGUGAAGUGUGUAAUAAGAUAUUCUCUGAUAAAUGGAGUUUAAAGAAACAU